Molecule: long non-coding RNA, 628 nt
Organism: Gorilla gorilla gorilla (western lowland gorilla)
Lineage: Eukaryota; Metazoa; Chordata; Mammalia; Primates; Hominidae
Exons: 3
Source: RefSeq, a predicted model, not a curated record
GGACUCCACCACUUCCUGCAAAGGACACUCUCUGCCCUGUCUGUGGUUGUUGAAGCUUCCAGGAGCUGACGCCCUCCAGGCUGCCUGUCCUACGCGGGCCAUCGCCACCUCCUUCCUUGUGUGCUCCCUCUGCCUGGCCCCCUCCUCCUACUGCUGCUCCUCCUGGCCAGCUCCUCCAAGGCCCUUCCUCACUGCCCCAGGCCUGCCGGCUGGUUAACUUCUUCCUUCCUGUGGAAACCCAGUCCACUUGUCAGGCCCCUGGUCAGCUCUUAAUAUACAGGUGGAGAGAAGGGAGCAAUGACCAGCAUUGCUGUGUGUUUGCCUGCAGUAUUUGCCAUGGCCGGAGUCCCCUGCAAGGCCCCAGCCACCUCUCAGCUCUCUGGCUCUGACCUCUCCCCACUCCUGCAGGUUCUUGUCCCCAGAAAGGCUCUGUUCCUCACCGCCAUUCGCUCUGGACACCUUGGGGUGUAGCCCAGUUGAGGUCCGGAUCUGCUGAAGCUUACAUCCCAGGACCUUAUCCAAAUCUGCGGGGCUGCUGAUGGGAUCCGCCUUUUCAAUACUCUUAGAGCCAGGUGCUGGGCACUGCCAACCAGGGUCCCCUUCCCACUGUAGUGGCCCUUACUAACUU